CUAGCCAUAAACCUAGAUAGUUACAUAACAAAACUAUUCGCCAGAGAACUACUAGCAAUAGCUUAAAACUCAAAGGACUUGGCGGUACUUUAUAUCCAU
Molecule: ribosomal RNA, 99 nt
Filed under: vertebrate environmental sample
Lineage: Eukaryota; Metazoa; Chordata
Description: partial 12S ribosomal RNA
Source: RNAcentral